This is a non-coding RNA of Triticum aestivum (bread wheat), 119 nucleotides long. The record is from Rfam. NCBI's taxonomy places the organism in Eukaryota, Viridiplantae, Streptophyta, Magnoliopsida, Poales, Poaceae.
GGAUGCGAUCAUACCAGCACUAAAGCACCGGAUCCCAUCAGAACUCCGAAGCUAAGCAUGCUUGGGCGAGAGUAGUACUAGGAUGGGUGACCUCCUGGGAAGUCCUCGUGUUGCAUUCC